AUUGAACGCUGGCGGCAUGCUUUGCACAUGCAAGUCGAACGGUAACAGGCCUUCGGGUGCUGACGAGUGGCGAACGGGUGAGUAAUGCAUCGGAACGUGCCCAGAGGUGGGGGAUAACGCAGCGAAAGCUGUGCUAAUACCGCAUGUGAUCUGAGGAUGAAAGCGGGGGACCAAGCAGCAAUGUUUGGCCUCGCGCCUCUGGAGCGGCCGAUGUCAGAUUAGGUAGUUGGUGGGGUAAAGGCCUACCAAGCCGACGAUCUGUAGCUGGUCUGAGAGGACGACCAGCCACACUGGGACUGAGACACGGCCCAGACUCCUACGGGAGGCAGCAGUGGGGAAUUUUGGACAAUGGGCGCAAGCCUGAUCCAGCAAUGCCGCGUGCGGGAAGAAGGCCUUCGGGUUGUAAACCGCUUUUGUACGGAACGAAAAGGCUCUGGCUAAUACCUGGGGCUGAUGACGGUACCGUAAGAAUAAGCACCGGCUAACUACGUG
RNAcentral lists this ribosomal RNA (492 nucleotides) under uncultured bacterium. RNAcentral describes it as "partial 16S ribosomal RNA". It matches the Rfam family "Bacterial small subunit ribosomal RNA", at positions 30 to 507 of the family's 1533-position model. The record is from RNAcentral.